RNAcentral lists this long non-coding RNA (459 nucleotides) under Chloebia gouldiae (Gouldian finch). RNAcentral's name for it is "Erythrura gouldiae (Gouldian finch) lncRNA (ENSEGOG00005017771.1)". The record is from RNAcentral. Lineage: Eukaryota; Metazoa; Chordata; Aves; Passeriformes; Passeridae.
CCCAGUCCCUCCCAGUCCCUCCCAGUCCCUCCCAGUCCAUCCACACCUCUCAGGUUUUUCCCAUUUUUCUUUAUUUUCCCCCCCAAAUCCCCGGUCACUGCUGGCCACUGGCGGCCACUGUUUGGUCACUGAUGGUCACUGUUGGUCACUGCUGGUCACUCCUGGUCACUGUUGGUCACUCGUGGUCACUGUUGGUCACUGUUGGUCACUCGUGGUCACUCGUGGUCCCCCCCGGUCGCUCGUGGUCACCGCGGCGCUCAGUGCCCGAUGACGCGGCGGAUCCAGGCGCUGGCCCGGCAGACGUUGCUGUAGACGCCCGGCUGGCCUCGCUGACCACAGACGGCCAAACCCCAGGAGACCACGCCCUGCAGGUACCCCCCGCAGACCAGCGGGCCCCCGGAGUCACCCUGCACAGGUGAGACACACCUGGGUUACACCUGGGUUACACCUGGGUUACAC